CAAGUGUAUUACCAAAAUAUGAUAGGGCAUUGCUACAUUACUCAAUGGGUCUAUCCACAUCGCUGCCUCUAUGUUACACUAUUUCUAAAAUAUAUAAAUGUUGGUAGUGUUGUAUGGUGGUGUUUUGUCGGAUUCUGAUCCGUAGAUUAUAAUAUAUCCGUAGCUUUUUGUCAUGCUUCAUAGGCUUGCCCAUCUUAGGCUAUCAGUUAUCCGGAACAUCU
Molecule: non-coding RNA, 221 nt
Organism: Cinara cedri
Lineage: Eukaryota; Metazoa; Arthropoda; Insecta; Hemiptera; Aphididae
Source: the annotation of a GenBank genome assembly